RNAcentral lists this ribosomal RNA (504 nucleotides) under uncultured bacterium. RNAcentral's name for it is "partial 16S ribosomal RNA". It matches the Rfam family "Bacterial small subunit ribosomal RNA", at positions 30 to 523 of the family's 1533-position model. The record is from RNAcentral.
AUUGAACGCUGGCGGCAUGCCUUACACAUGCAAGUCGAACGGCAGCAUGGAGAGCUUGCUCUCUGAUGGCGAGCGGCGAACGGGUGAGUAAUGCAUCGGAACGUACCGUGUAAUGGGGGAUAACGUAGCGAAAGUUACGCUAAUACCGCAUACGACCUGAGGGUGAAAGCAGGGGAUCGCAAGACCUUGCGUUAUACGAGCGGCCGAUGUCAGAUUAGCUAGUUGGCGAGGUAAAGGCUCACCAAGGCGACGAUCUGUAACGGGUCUGAGAGGAUGAUCCGCCACACUGGGACUGAGACACGGCCCAGACUCCUACGGGAGGCAGCAGUGGGGAAUUUUGGACAAUGGGGGCAACCCCGAUCCAGCCAUGCCGCGUGAGUGAAGAAGGCCUUCGGGUUGUAAAGCUCUUUCGGCCGGGAAGAAAUCGCACAGGCUAAUACUCUGUGUGGAUGACGGUACCGGCAUAAGAAGCACCGGCUAACUACGUGCCAGCCGCCGCGGUAA